GACGAACGCUGGCGGCGUGCCUAACACAUGCAAGUCGAGCGGGGUCCAACCGGUGGCAACACCGGGGACGACCUAGCGGCGAACGGGUGAGUAUCACGUGAGAAACCUGCCCCGAAGUCUGGGAUAACCCGGGGAAACUCGGGCUAAUACCGGAUGCCCUUCACAGAUCGCAUGGUCAAUGAAGGAAAGAAUUUCGCUUCGGGAGGGUCUCGCGGCCUAUCAGCUAGUUGGUGGGGUAACGGCCUACCAAGGCAUCGACGGGUAGCUGGUCUGAGAGGACGAUCAGCCACACUGGGACUGAGACACGGCCCAGACUCCUACGGGUGGCUG
This 330-nucleotide ribosomal RNA is filed under the name uncultured Actinomycetes bacterium. Its description in RNAcentral is "bacterial SSU rRNA". It matches the Rfam family "Bacterial small subunit ribosomal RNA", at positions 28 to 351 of the family's 1533-position model. The record is from RNAcentral. Lineage: Bacteria; Bacillati; Actinomycetota; Actinomycetes.